This 377-nucleotide unclassified non-coding RNA is filed under the name plant metagenome. RNAcentral describes it as "partial contains 5.8S ribosomal RNA, internal transcribed spacer 2, and large subunit ribosomal RNA". The stretch from base 1 to 104 matches the Rfam family "5.8S ribosomal RNA", at positions 51 to 154 of the family's 154-position model. The record is from RNAcentral.
AAAUGCGAUAAGUAAUGUGAAUUGCAGAAUUCAGUGAAUCAUCGAAUCUUUGAACGCACAUUGCGCCUAUUAGUAUUCUAGUAGGCAUGCCUGUUUGAGUAUCAUGAAAUCUUCAAAGUAAAUCUUUUGUUAACUCAAUUGGUUUCUACUUUGGUAUUGGAGGUCUUUGCAGCUUCACACCUGCUCCUCUUUGUUCAUUAGCUGGAUCUCAGUGUUAUGCUUGGUUCCACUCGGCGUGAUAAGUUAUCUAUCGCUGAGGACACUGUAAAAGGUGGCCAAGGUAAAUGCAGAUGAACCGCUUCUAAUAGUCCAUUGACUUGGACAAUACUUUUAUGAUCUGAUCUCAAAUCAGGUAGGACUACCCGCUGAACUUAAGC